CCUACGGGCGGCAGCAGUGAGGAAUAUUGGUCAAUGGACGAGAGUCUGAACCAGCCAAGUAGCGUGAAGGAUGACUGCCCUAUGGGUUGUAAACUUCUUUUAUAUGGGAAUAAAAUGUUCCACGUGUGGGAUUUUGUAUGUACCAUAUGAAUAAGGAUCGGCUAACUCCGUGCCAGCAGCCGCGGUAAUACGGAGGGUCCGAGCGUUAUCCGGAUUUAUUGGGUUUAAAGGGAGCGUAAGUGGAUUGUUAAGUCAGUUGUGAAAGUUUGCGGCUCAACCGUAAAAUUGCAGUUGAAACUGGCAGGCUUGAGUACAGUAGAGGUGAGCGGAAGUCGUGGUGUAGCGGUGAAAUGCGUAGAUAUCACGAAGAACUCCGAGGGCGAAGGCAGCUCACUGGACUGCAACUGACACUGAGGCUCGAAAGUGUGGGUAUCAAACAGGAUUAGAUACCCGGGUAGUC
Molecule: ribosomal RNA, 460 nt
Filed under: uncultured bacterium
Lineage: Bacteria
Description: partial 16S ribosomal RNA
Rfam family: Bacterial small subunit ribosomal RNA
Source: RNAcentral